Molecule: ribosomal RNA, 653 nt
Filed under: Salmonella enterica subsp. enterica serovar Braenderup
Lineage: Bacteria; Pseudomonadati; Pseudomonadota; Gammaproteobacteria; Enterobacterales; Enterobacteriaceae
Description: partial 23S ribosomal RNA
Rfam family: Bacterial large subunit ribosomal RNA
Source: RNAcentral
GUGGGUAGUUUGACUGGGGCGGUCUCCUCCUAAAGAGUAACGGAGGAGCACGAAGGUUGGCUAAUCCUGGUCGGACAUCAGGAGGUUAGUGCAAUGGCAUAAGCCAGCUUGACUGCGAGCGUGACGGCGCGAGCAGGUGCGAAAGCAGGUCAUAGUGAUCCGGUGGUUCUGAAUGGAAGGGCCAUCGCUCAACGGAUAAAAGGUACUCCGGGGAUAACAGGCUGAUACCGCCCAAGAGUUCAUAUCGACGGCGGUGUUUGGCACCUCGAUGUCGGCUCAUCACAUCCUGGGGCUGAAGUAGGUCCCAAGGGUAUGGCUGUUCGCCAUUUAAAGUGGUACGCGAGCUGGGUUUAGAACGUCGUGAGACAGUUCGGUCCCUAUCUGCCGUGGGCGCUGGAGAACUGAGGGGGGCUGCUCCUAGUACGAGAGGACCGGAGUGGACGCAUCACUGGUGUUCGGGUUGUCAUGCCAAUGGCACUGCCCGGUAGCUAAAUGCGGAAGAGAUAAGUGCUGAAAGCAUCUAAGCACGAAACUUGCCCCGAGAUGAGUUCUCCCUGAGACUUAAAGUCUCCUGAAGGAACGUUGAAGACGACGACGUUGAUAGGCCGGGUGUGUAAGCGCAGCGAUGCGUUGAGCUAACCGGUACUAAUGAA